AGCAGCAGCCGCGGUAAAACGAAGGGUGCAAGCGUUAAUCGGAAUUACUGGGCGUAAAGCGUGCGUAGGCGGUUUGUUAAGUCUGCUGUGAAAUCCCCGGGCUCAACCUGGGAAUGGCAGUGGAUACUGGCAAGCUAGAGUGUGUCAGAGGAUGGUGGAAUUCCCGGUGUAGCGGUGAAAUGCGUAGAGAUCGGGAGGAACAUCAGUGGCGAAGGCGGCCAUCUGGGACAACACUGACGCUGAGGCACGAAAGCGUGGGGAGCAAACAGGAUUAGAUACCCCCGUAGUCCCUGUCUCUUAUAC
RNAcentral lists this ribosomal RNA (303 nucleotides) under uncultured bacterium. RNAcentral's name for it is "partial 16S ribosomal RNA". It matches the Rfam family "Bacterial small subunit ribosomal RNA", at positions 507 to 807 of the family's 1533-position model. The record is from RNAcentral.